GUUGCAGUGAGCUGAGAUUGUGCCACUGCACUCCAGCCUGGGCGGCAAGAGUGAAACUCCGUCUCAAAAAAAAGGGCAACUAAGGAGCAACCCGGAUUCAGCCACCACAUGGCUGGAAGGUCACUAUUACAGAAUUGAAAGGACAACAAUAGUUUCUGACCACUGACUACUGACCACCAACCAUAUUGCAAGCUGACCACAUGAAGUCCCUACCACACAUCUAACUCAUUUAAUCUUCACAAGGUCUCUGUGAGGCAGGAAUUAUUACCUCUGCUUUACAGAUGAGGGGGACCAUAUUCAGAAAGGCUACGAAACGUGACUAGGGUCAUACAGCUGGUACUUGUUAGAGCCAAGAUUUGAAUCCAUCCCUAUCCGACUUCCAAAGCCUGUGUUCUUGUCACCUUCCAGCCCACCUGGCCUCUACACAUGUGCUAUGAAAUCCUCCUGGUGCCUGCAAAGAAAUUUAUGGUGAAACCUCCAAAUUGAAGCUUAUUUUUUUAGUUUAUAUACCUCCCACUCAGGAUAAAUAGUCAUCAAAAUCUCCAAAGUAAAAAAGAAAGAGUGAGGGAAAAAAUGGCUAAAAUCUUCUGAUCACAAGCCCAUCUGGGAUCUUUCAGAUGCUGAAAAUUCCAGAAGGCUGGAUCGUCAAGUUUCAGCUUAGAAGUUGCAAUCAGAAAUCUUUAUUGAAAUAAGUUUAUUUCCCCCCGAGGACUCUGCUGGUAUAACAGAUGAGAGAUGAGAGUGCCUACUAGGGAAGAAAGUGGCGAGAAAGCGAGUGAUGCUACUCUAUCCGGGAAUCUAGAACAAACCCACAGAGGAUCCACAGGGAUGGAGUGUGUGUAUGGGGAGGUGGGCCAGAUGAAACAAGAAAGGCAGAAAGCUAAUGGUUGUUGAAAUUGAAUGAUGGACACUUGGAGUUCAUUGUGCCAGUCUAUCUGCUUCUCUGUGUGUUUGAAAAUUUCACACAUGUACACAAAGCCAUGACCCUCCAACAAGAUGACAUCCUUAGAUGUUAAUGGCCUGGGUUCCAUGCCUUCUUAGACACAGCACCCUUAUGGGGAGAGGUCAAGGCUGAAAUCAGGUGGUUCCUCCACCCUGUCCUGGUCUGUUCCCUGCUGGCCCCUCAGCAAGGGUCUCAGUACGGCCCACAGUCAAAACCCUGCAGCAAGUUCUGCUUUUAUAGAAGACCUUCUGUAAGUGGUUGAAACUACUGUUUUUCAGAAUCAGGAAGGAGCAUUCAAAAGACUGCUAAACCCUCAAACGAGAACAAGAUAAAGAACAGGCUGAAUCAGCAUGCGACAGGAGCCUGGUUUCAUCCCUAACUCUGGUCAGCAACUUUUGAAGUAUAUACCAAGGACCACAAGUUCAAGGAAGUGGGCAGAAGAAAGAAUGUGAUGCAGUCAUGCAGAUCCAUCGCCACUAUUCAAGACACAGCCCAGAGCGCCUUCCAAGGGCUUUCUGUUCCACUGAGAAUAAAAUUCAAAUCCUCACAAAAGAUCUCAGGGUGCAACAGGACUACCUGGCCUCUGCUCAUCUCUGUUCACUCAUUUCCUCCUGGCCCACCUGCUCUAGCAAUGUUCCUUGAACUCACCAAGCUCAUUUCCACUUUAGGACCUUUGCACCUGCAGCUCGCUCUUGCUUUGAUACUAUUCCCUAAGUCUUUGCAUGAUUACACAGAUCAAACAGAUCUCAGACCAAAGGUCGUCUUCUCAGGCCUUUCCAGACCAUUCUAGCUAAAGUAGCAUCCCCAGUCACUUUCUAUUAUAUCUUGUUUUCUUUUUUAUAUCACUUGUUACUAUCUGAUGUUAUUAUUUAUUUGAUUGCUUUUUAGUGAACUGUCUCUCUCCAGUAGAAUGUAAGCUCCAUGAGGGCAGAUUCUGGACUGUCUGGCUCACCGCUGCACCCACGGAACCUAGGAUAAGGAAUACCUCUUGAUGAAUAAAUAACCCUCUGGAUAGGUCAGUAGCUACUUUCAUAUAUAUAUGAAGGCAUUUUUUUUGAUGAGGCACUUUUUCUUAAUAUAUGAAUAAGCAAAAAAAUAUAGUAUCUAUAUUCAGUAAAAAAUUAUUUUGAAAAAACUAAAAUGAUAUAAGGUUGGGGCUGUCCUGGAGAAUCUAAGGUAUCUAGUCAUCAUAUAUAUGAAAUUCAACUUUUCCAUUGUUUGAUAAAUGUUCCUGAUGACUCAUGUGUCUUUAGCACUAGUUUAUCUGUCAAAUGGUCACUGGUAAGAGAAAGAGCGCUCGCUGUGAAGGGAUGGGAUUCCUGAAUGGGGAUCUGGAUACACAGCUGGGUUUGUGUGUUCAUGCAUGUGCACAAGCACCUGCAGCUCAGAAUCUACAACCAACAGCUCUUAGAGUCAGUGUGGCCUUGGUAUACUUUGUUUUGUAUCCUUUAGGGGUGUGUGUCUCCAACUUUAACGUACAAGUCAAUCACCUGGGGAUCUUCUUAAAAUGCAGAUUCCAAUUCCAGGGUGGGGUCUGAGAUUUUAUAUUUCUAAUUAGCGCUUACUCAGGUGACAUCUGUGCUGCUGGCCAGAGGCUCACACUUUGGCAAAUCUCUAGUACUGCAAAAUUGCCGUCUGAGAAACAUGCCUCCAGAUUAGCUAAGAAAGGAAGCGCUAACCACAGGGGACUUGGUCCCCAAGACCCAAAAAUAUAGAGAACCUAAUUUCAAACAAGCAGAAAGGAACUUCUCUGGAAAGAGACGACUCAGCUUUCUUCAUUUGUAAUAAACCAAAUCUGUAAACA
This 2747-nucleotide long non-coding RNA is filed under the name Homo sapiens (human). Its description in RNAcentral is "HSALNT0316738". The record is from RNAcentral. Lineage: Eukaryota; Metazoa; Chordata; Mammalia; Primates; Hominidae.